Molecule: unclassified non-coding RNA, 200 nt
Filed under: soil metagenome
Description: partial contains internal transcribed spacer 2 and large subunit ribosomal RNA
Source: RNAcentral
UGCCGGCAUAAAUAUGAUCAGCUCCUCUUAAAUGCAUUAGCAGAACCUUUUAAAGGACUAGCUUCAGUUUGAUAAUCCUAUCUAUGCUGUUGCUGUUGAUCUUUGUGUGUUCAGCUUCUAAUGGUCUUUUAGACUGUCUCUAUGAGGCAUACACUUUUAAGCUUGACCUCAAAUCAGGUAGGACUACCCGCUGAACUUAA